Molecule: ribosomal RNA, 317 nt
Filed under: uncultured Bacteroidales bacterium
Lineage: Bacteria; Pseudomonadati; Bacteroidota; Bacteroidia; Bacteroidales
Description: bacterial SSU rRNA
Rfam family: Bacterial small subunit ribosomal RNA
Source: RNAcentral
AGCAGGGUAGCAAUACCGCUGACGACCGGCGCACGGGUGAGUAACACGUAUCCAACCUUCCCAUAACUCGGGGAUAGCCUUUCGAAAGAAAGAUUAAUACCCGAUAGUACUUUAUUAAGGCAUCUUAAGAAAGUUAAAGAUUUAUUGGUUAUGGAUGGGGAUGCGUUCCAUUAGAUAGUUGGUGAGGUAACGGCUCACCAAGUCUUCGAUGGAUAGGGGUUCUGAGAGGAAGGUCCCCCACAUUGGUACUGAGACACGGACCAAACUCCUACGGGAGGCAGCAGUGAGGAAUAUUGGUCAAUGGGCGAGAGCCUGAA